RNAcentral lists this ribosomal RNA (700 nucleotides) under Hygrophorus leucophaeus. RNAcentral's name for it is "eukaryotic LSU rRNA". It matches the Rfam family "Eukaryotic large subunit ribosomal RNA", at positions 46 to 728 of the family's 3401-position model. The record is from RNAcentral. Lineage: Eukaryota; Fungi; Basidiomycota; Agaricomycetes; Agaricales; Hygrophoraceae.
AUAAGCGGAGGAAAAGAAACUAACAAGGAUUCCCCUAGUAACUGCGAGUGAAGCGGGAAAAGCUCAAAUUUAAAAUCUGGCGGUCUUUUGGCUGUCCGAGUUGUAAUCUAGAGAAGUGCUUUCCGCGUUGGACCGUGUACAAGUCUCUUGGAACAGAGCGUCAUAGAGGGUGAGAAUCCCGUCUUUGACACGGACUACCAGUGCUUUUGUGAUGCGCUCUCAAAGAGUCGAGUUGUUUGGGAAUGCAGCUCAAAAUGGGUGGUAAAUUCCAUCUAAAGCUAAAUAUUGGCGAGAGACCGAUAGCGAACAAGUACCGUGAGGGAAAGAUGAAAAGAACUUUGGAAAGAGAGUUAAACAGUACGUGAAAUUGUUGAAAGGGAAACGCUUGAAGUCAGUCGCGUUGGCCGGGAAUCAACCCUUCUUUUUUGUAGGGCGUACUUCCUGGUUUACGGGUCAGCAUCAAUUUUGAUUGUUGGACAAAAGCCAACAUUUAUGCAUCUUCGGAUGUAUAGCCUUUGGUUGCAUACAACAGUUGGGAUUGAGGAACUCAGCACGCCGCAAGGCCGGGUCACUAUGACCACGUACGUGCUUAGGAUGCUGGCAUAAUGGCUUUAAUCAGACCCGUCUUGAAACACGGACCAAGGAGUCUAACAUGCCCGCGAGUGUUUGGGUGGUAAACCCGAGCGCGUAAUGAAAGUGA